UGCCCUCCUCGCUAGAUGCUGCGGCGGCCGCCCGGGAGCAGCCACGCGCCGCGCUCGGCCGCCGACCGCGGGCAGCAGCCAGGGGCCGCCGCCGCCGGGGGCAGCGCUCGGCCGCCGCCGGGCCCAGGGGCAGCAGCGCGGAGCGGCGCGGAGAUGGUGCCGCUGGUGCGGGGCGCCGGGGGCUCCCACCAGUGGCUGGCGGCCGUGCUGCUCGGCCUCUGCUGCCUCCUGCCCCCCGGGCGCAUCGCCGCGCCGGGCGGGGACUUCCCCGGGGCGGCCGCGGACAGCCUGGUGGUGCGGAAGGGGGACACGGCCGUGCUGAGGUGUUACUUGGAAGAUGGAGCUUCAAAAGGUGCCUGGCUGAAUCGGUCAAGUAUUAUUUUUGCUGGAAGUGAUAAGUGGUCAGUAGAUCCUCGAGUUUCAAUUGCGACAGCAAAUAGAAGAGAAUACAGCCUGCAGAUACAGGACGUAGAUGUGACAGAUGAUGGUCCCUACACCUGUUCUGUGCAAACUCAGCAUACUCCUAGAACGAUGCAGGUGCACUUAACUGUACAAGUUUCUCCGAAGAUAUUUCGUAUUUCAAGUGACAUCAUUGUGAACGAAGGCAGCAACGUUACUCUCGUGUGUCUGGCCACAGGGAAACCAGAGCCUUCCAUUUCUUGGAGACACAUCUCACCAUCUGCAAAACCGUUUGAGAACGGACAGUACCUGGACAUCUAUGGAAUUACGAGAGACCAGGCUGGGGAAUACGAAUGCAGUGCAGAGAACGACGUCUCAGUCCCAGACGUGAAAAAAGUAAAAGUCACAGUAAACUUUGCCCCCACAAUUCAGGAACUUAAGUCCAGCGGCGUGAUGCUUGGAGGGAACGGACUGAUACGGUGUGAAGGUGCAGGCGUUCCUGCCCCAGUCUUUGAGUGGUACAGAGGAGAGAGGAAACUGAUCAAUGGUCAACAAGGAAUAACUAUUAAAAAUUAUAGUACAAGAUCGCUUCUUACUGUUACCAAUGUGACAGAAGAGCAUUUUGGCAACUAUACCUGUGUCGCUGCCAACAAGCUUGGGACGACAAAUGCCAGCCUGCCUCUCAACCGAAAAAGUUACACGCUCUGACAACAGUCACCGCAGUCUGAGGAAUCACAAUCGCUCACCGGAGAGGAUAACUCCCAGUACAGCCCAGUAUGGGAUCACCGGUGAUGCCGAAGUCCUGUUCUCCUGCUGGUACCUUGUGUUGACACUGUCCUCUCUCACCAGCAUAUUCUACCUGAAGAACAUCAUUCUGCACUAAAUGUAAAGAACCCUAAAAGGCUUUUAAGGAUUCUCUGAAAGUGCUGAUGACUGGAUCCAAUCUGGUAGAGUUUGUUAAAAGCAGCGUGGGAUAUAAUCAGCAGUGCUUACGUGGGGAUGAUCGCCUUCUGUAGAAUUGCUCAUUAUGUAAAUACUUUAAUUCUACUCCUUUUUUGAUUAGCUGCAUUACCUUGUGAAGCAGUACACAUUGUCCUUUUUUAAGACGUGAAAGCUCUGAAAUUACUUUUAGAGGAUAUUAAUUGUGAUUUCAUGUUUGUAAUCUACAAGUUUUCAAAAGCAUUCAGUCAUGGUCUGCUGAGUUGCAGACCGUAGUUUACAAAAAAAAGAAAAAAAAGAAAAAGAAUAUUGCAGUAAAAAUGUGCUUCUUUAAGGCUGCAAUACAACAUUCAGUACCCUUCUUAAAAACAUUCUAUCCACAUUUACACAGAAACUUUUUUUUUUCUUUUGAUAAAAAAAAAAUCAAUAUUGCCUUCAAAAUAUCUCUUCAAAAUAUUACACAUAUCUAGAUUUUCUUCCAGCAUGAUAUUCAGGUUUCAAGAAUGAGCCUUGUAUUAUAACUGCAUUGUGCAGUACUGCUUUUUGUUUUCUUCCUUUUUUCCUGCAAAUUCAGCAUGGGUGUGCCUUCAUAAAACACUACUUUCCUCUUCCACUCCAACAAAUUUGGAAUGUGUUUUGGGAAAUGCUAAAGCAUCCUUUUGAGCAUAACAAAUCUCUAACUGAGGAUGAAGGUGCUAUUGACUAGAAAGAAAAACCUCCUCUCCCAUCUCCAGUGGGUAAUGGAACUGCUUCAGAUGUAUAUUUUUAGGCAAUCAGUGAAGGAUAGCACCAAUUCCUUUUAUUUUUUUCCCAUCUACUAAGCAGUAGAUGAUCUCUGUAAAAAACUAGUUUUCCCAUUACAAAAGAGAACACAAAUUAUUUUGAGAUGUCUUUUGAAUGUAAGAAGGUUUCUCUUAGUCAUUCUAAAUCAGGAUUCUUAAAUGGCUGUAAAUGCGAGAAACUGAAUCGUCCCUUUUAUAUUACUGGCACAAAAAAAAACCUAUGUGAAUUGGUAUUUUUCUUGCACUUAAUUUUAUACUGGUUUGGCUAAUUUAGCAAUGAUAAAGGAUGCUUUUAAAUAUUAGAGAUCUGAAAAUACAUAAAGUAUCAAGCAGAAUUUUAUAUAUAUAUAAUAUAUAUAUAAAAUACAUAUAUAUAUUAAAACAAGGUUGCUCUAAUAAUUGUACUGAAUUGCAUGCUGCCGUCAAUGAUGCAUCUUUACAGACAGGACUUCAUUACUGACAUACUAAUACUGUACAAAUAGCUUACCACAGCAGUUUAGUUCUCGUACACGAUUUCCUAGGACUGCAGUCUAUCAAGAUAAGACUCUCAUUAACCUCAAUGAAGGAUCAAGUUUCAAAAUAGCAAAUAACAUUACUAUUUUUUCUAAGCAGCCCCAUACUGCAUCAUUGCAAAAUGUUGCUCACAGUUUACAGCUGAAUUUAAAAAUGCCAUCCAUGUAAAUUGCUGGGACAUGACUGUGUCCAGCAGCCUUUGAAUACAAGAUCUCCUAUUGACAACAAUAAUAAAACCAUUAUCUACAUUAUUAUUUCCCUGUUCUGUAUGUGAACUCUAAUAGGUGACACAAUUAUUAUAAAUAUGACAUUCUUUCUCCUAACAAUAAGGCUUUGUGGCUAGCAAUACCAGAUGAGUACUGUGCAUAUGCAGCAGUUCCAAAUCAAGUUUACAAACAUCCCACUUUCUGAAAAGACAAACUGUGAGUUUGCUUAGACUCAGUAUAUAUACUGUCCCAUGCUAAAAGGUAGUUCGAAUAUGUGGUGAACCUGUUGUUGUUACUGAUUAGCUCAGAUGCAGGGUAUAAAGUGAAAUAUGCUGACUCCAAAAUAUGGCAAUAAUUUGUCCUAGGUCACUCUGCUUUUGUUCAGUGACAGGUUGUACUAUUUCUAUUAUAUCAUUUGCAGCUGUGUGCUGAGCAGUUACUAUUUUGAGAAAUGUGGCAUUUUUUAAAAAGCCUUGAAUAACGUGGCAAAAUUAAUUCUUUAAGGAAAUGGCAUAAAACCAAUUCAAAUUAUACUAUACACAGUCCUGAUAUUCUGAUUUCCCUUGUAUUGCAGCUUUAAAGUGCUAUGUUUUAGAAUCCCUUCAUAAGAAACAGAGGUGCUGCAGAUAUCAUGUCAGUACAGUUUUAUGAAGAAAGAAAAAGGGGUACAAGUAACCCAACUCGUAUGCUGCGUCUCAUGUAAAACUGAGAGAUGUUUGUAUUCUGGGGCUGGAUCAAAUUAUAUAUUUCAAUUAUAUAUUUCAUUUCAGUGAUUCCUAAUAUCUGAAACCUGACAAUUCCAGUAACAGAAUAGAAUGAACAGCAGCUUUAUCAAAUGUGAAGAAAAUGAGGAAUGAGGUAUUGACUGUUAGCAGACACAGAGCCACUGGGUAACAUGGACAAGGCAUUUGGUCCCACCUCUGAAUUUUCACUUAAAUUUGUGGGGACAUGAUUGUUGUCAAGUCCAAAAAGAAAAAAAGUAUAUAUACAAAUAUUCCUAGGUGCCAAUAGCAUUUAGCAUUUUCUUAGAUAAGAUAGGUUCUUAAACACCAGUCAGAUCUGCGUGUUCAGCAGCGGACAUGUGCGCACCCACCCGCUCAGCCCCGUGCACUCAGGCUCGCGCAGGCGCCCCGUGUGCCUCGGUGCCACGGGGCUGGGCUCUGCAGGCUGCUCGGCAGGAGCCGACUGCCCCGUCCUGCGGCCCCCCACAGAGGCAGAGGCGCUUACCUUUAUGCACCGAUUAAUUCAAAGGGCGUGGUACAUGAAGAUAAGCAGCCUUGAUUUUUUGCAGGAUCGGAGCUAUAGGCAGUAUUGAUUGAAUAAAGAAACUUGGCUCCUCGGUUAACCUGUUCCUUGCGGUAAACCGGUAAUUGUGCAGUUUGGGACUUACUGGGACAUUCUUCCAACGCAGACUGUGCAGACUGCUGCCAAUUGAACUCAACAGCAUUUGACAAAAUCCAUUCACCCUUUAGUUUGUGGGGUGCGUUUGCUUUAGGCGACUGUUUGACGGUAUGUUCUACGCUUCUUCAAAUGGUUAACCCAUACUGUUCAUAUCUGUUGGUCAAAUAUUAUUAUAUUUAUUCCCACCUUUAAAACGUGAAAAAUAAAUGGCUUAGCUCCAAGCAGUAUAACUGAA
Molecule: RNA transcript, 4475 nt
Organism: Cygnus atratus (black swan)
Lineage: Eukaryota; Metazoa; Chordata; Aves; Anseriformes; Anatidae
Gene: NEGR1
Gene name: neuronal growth regulator 1
Exons: 8
Source: RefSeq, a predicted model, not a curated record